AUGGGAAUGCUUAGACACCAGAUGGCAAAUGUUCCAAACAGGAUGUUCAGCUGUGUUUUCUUUUCAUCAAAUUUCUUAUCUCAUGACGUGGGUUCAUCGGAAGAAAAUAAUUUCCAUCUUAAACUCAUCUCUUUCCAAGGCCUUUGCUAUUUAAGACUCAUAUGCCAGCAAUGGAACACCUACACUUUUCUACCAAAAAAAGAAAAGAGAAUGAGAUAUAAGAGGUUGGUGACCAUCUGCAAAGCCUAGUAUGCUAUUAAAGAGGAGCCUGAAGUGCUUUGGCAGGGAAGAAACUCUGGAAACUUCCACCUGAAUCGGACUCUGGUGUGUGAGGACAGUAAUACCACCUUGUGGAUCCUGAGAGAUACAACCUUUAGGUGUUCAUUAAGACUUUGCAGGGUCUAUGAGGCUUAAAAACAGACAGUCACUUACUCAAAUUUCCUUCUGAAAACAAGUAUAAUUCUAGUUUGGCUGCUCUUGAUCAGAAGUUCUGAAGAUCCCAAUUGCUGAUUUUAUCUAUGUCAGAGUCUUGCACCUGCAUUACUUACACUCAGGACAAUAAGAAAAAAAAGGAGAAUGUUCACAAAUCAGGACUCUGAAGGAUUCCUGAAGAGGGCAGGCCAGUUCAAAGACAUUUUCAGGAACAUAAUUAGGAAGUGGAUUAAUUCUUAAGAAACGUUCUACAAUGAAUGAUGGAUAGGUAAUCUUGAUGUUAUGAAGGACUACACUGAAAUUUAACUAUUUUGUCUUGUUAAAACAAGUAGAACGUAGAAAAGCCUGUGUUAGAACUUCACCUCUGUUGGCUCUCCAGAAGCCAAUUAAUUGUUCUCCAGAAAAAUUAAUGCUCCCCUACAAUAAAUAAAACAAGCUUUCACA
Molecule: long non-coding RNA, 876 nt
Filed under: Cyanistes caeruleus (blue tit)
Lineage: Eukaryota; Metazoa; Chordata; Aves; Passeriformes; Paridae
Description: lncRNA (ENSCCEG00000015965.1)
Source: RNAcentral